UAAUAUCUUACAGGAUGGAAUUAAGCG
RNAcentral lists this small RNA (27 nucleotides) under Bombyx mori (domestic silkworm). RNAcentral's name for it is "piRNA piR-bmo-1915611". Lineage: Eukaryota; Metazoa; Arthropoda; Insecta; Lepidoptera; Bombycidae. The record is from RNAcentral.